This is a long non-coding RNA of Mytilus trossulus (common blue mussel), 2405 nucleotides long. RefSeq lists it as uncharacterized. The transcript is spliced from 3 exons. The record is from RefSeq and is a predicted model, not a curated record. Lineage: Eukaryota; Metazoa; Mollusca; Bivalvia; Mytilida; Mytilidae.
UUAAAUUUGAAUAAAUAACCAUUUCUUUUUUUAAAUUUGAAUAAAUAAUCAUUUCUUUUUCCAAAUUUAAAUAAAUAACCUUCUUUUUUUCUAAAUUUGAAAUAAUGACCCCUUUUUUUUGUGUGCUGGUGGUGUUACCACAGGUUUGUGUAUGCGUCUAGUGUGGUUGGGAGUCAAAGACUCUUAAACUGCCGCUGGAUAGCUUAUAUUCAUAGGUGAAAAGAAAGCUGAGUGCGUAAGUCUUUCCUUCCAGUAUAUAGCCUCUACACUAACAAGACUUCUACAGUGCCUCCCCGUGACAGCACACGGUAACUAGGAUCUAGUGUCCUAGGCUUGACUGUAGAGGAUCUCGGAGUAGCAAGGACCCUAGAGAUGAAGUGUGUAGGCCGAUUGACAUGCGGACAUCCCUAGCACUCAUCACCCUUGCCCCAGUUAUGGGUCAAAUAGCCGGCUGAAUGAUGGUCAUAAGCCUUGAAAGGAUGUCUAGGAGAAGAAAACUCUUGAUAUGAAAUUUUUGGUAGAUUUGACUCGUCAGCCUUGGUCUGCAAUUGAUUUAAAGGAAACAAAGCUUGAGUAAAGAUUCUCUGGUUCUCCAGGUUUGGGAUUGAGAAAUAUGUCAACAACCUAUCCUUGUAAAAAGGAAGAAUGAUUAUAUACUGAUUAAUCUCCCAGAUGAGGAACAUCACAACUGGGUCUGCAUGAAGCUUUGACAUUCAAAAGACAAGUUAUCCUGGAUAUUUUGAAAACACGUAAAUGAUUUACUGAAGGAAAAUCGAAGGAAGUAGGACCUGAAUGUAAAAUAAUACCAACUUGAAGACAAAGUGUGCUUGUUAAUUUAGAAAUCAACUGAAGCAGAAGAAGAAGAACGGAUUCUGUUGAUCUGAGAAACUUGGAAACACUUAUUGACAAAAAAAUAUGUAGUAUAAUACAAUUAUGUUUAAAGAGAGAGAUAGAAAAAGGGUGAGAGCCAGUUGUAAAGAUUUAUUCUUUUAAACCAGUUAUGUUGAUUACAUUCGAAUUUCAUAGGCCUACAGUUCGCCCCUAUAUGGUCUUAGUUAAUACAUGUACUAGGUGAUUAAUGUAAGACUUUGAUGUGACGUUUGAGAACAAUCAGCUGCCAUUGGUUUAAAUCUUUUUUUAUGCCCUUUCAGUUGGGGGGGGGGGGAUAUUGUUUUACUCCUGUCCUUACGCUCUACCAUCCUUUUAUAGGUAUAUAGAAUUAAGAAGAUGUGAAAUUGGUGACAAUGAGACAACUCUCAUCCAAUUUACAUGUAGUAUAGAUAACUACUCCUAGAGUUUAAGGAGUUAUCUCCCAUAUUUGUAGGUACUUUUGAUAUUUUGAUAUUUCAUGAUAAGGCUAAUGUAAAUAGAAGAUUUAACUUGUUUUUGAAUUUAACAAACUGUGCAUAAGUUGUGAGGAAUGGAAACUAGCAGGCCGAGUUUAAGGGUUAAGGGGAGGGAAUACACUUGUUUAUCUUUUCAUAUGAGCUAGUUUUUUUCACUGCAUGGAAGGCCUGCAAUAAAUUAGAAUGUAUUAGUUUUAUAUAUGAUUGUUAUAUAUUUGUUGUUAGAUAUGCUAUAUAAGAUGCAAAAAAGUAAGAUGACAGUAUUAUAGUUCUGUAAAUAAAAUUAGCUUGUAAACAGAGGUCUAGAUAAUGCAUUAAGUUGAUUGGUCUGACAUUGGAAUUUCAAAUUAUAUUUAUGUCGUCAUCUACAAAAGAGCUUCCAUUCUCAAUAUUAUCUGAUAUUAAACACCCCUUCCUCCCAAUUAUGACUUCAUUUUUAGUUUAAUGAGUUAUCUCCCAUAUUUGUAGGUACUUUGGUAACAGUAUUUCAUGAUAAGGCUAAUGCAAAUAGGAGACAACUCUUGUUUUUUGUAGAAAAGAAAAUUUAACUUGUUUUCAAAUUUAAUGGUAAAUCCUGUGACUUCGUAAAUUUUUUCUUAGCUUUAAAAUAAUAUUUAACACCCUGUCCAUGAAAUUGAAUAUUGCUCCUCUUGAUUUUAGUAAGUGAAUUCUUUUGUAAUAGUUUAAAAGAAAUGUCAAAUAGUAUUUCAUAAUGCAUUAGAAGGAAUGGUAUAUUUUAUAGAAUGCUAGUAUUGUUUUACUUGUAUGUUUAAAAGUAGUCACAAAAAAUGUCAUAUAUUAUUUGUUUUACUAUUUACUAUUUUAAAGUGGAAUAACAUGAACUUAUUUCCCUAUUUGCUAGUUCAUAACGAUUGUAAAGUUGAAAUUUCUGUAAGAAUUAAACACCUAUGAUUCUUCCCUACAAUGUAUGAGUAUUUUUUAAAGCGGGGUGUAUUUUUUUUUCAAUAUUGCCAUAUUCUUAUGUCGUAAGUAUCAGUAUUAUAUAAGGUGAUUGCUACAUAAAUCAUUUCUCAUUUUAAUAAAUAACAUUUAUUUGAA